RNAcentral lists this ribosomal RNA (467 nucleotides) under uncultured bacterium. Its description in RNAcentral is "partial 16S ribosomal RNA". It matches the Rfam family "Bacterial small subunit ribosomal RNA", at positions 28 to 507 of the family's 1533-position model. The record is from RNAcentral.
GACGAACGCUGGCGGCGUGCUUAACACAUGCAAGUCGAACGGAAAGGCCUCUUUCGGGGGGUACUCGAGUGGCGAACGGGUGAGUAACACGUGAGUAACCUGCCCUUGACUUUGGGAUAACUUCAGGAAACUGGGGCUAAUACCGGAUAGGAGCUCCUGCUGCAUGGUGGGGGUUGGAAAGUUUCGGCGGUUGGGGAUGGACUCGCGGCUUAUCAGCUUGUUUGUGGGGUAGUGGCUUACCAAGGCUUUGACGGGUAGCCGGCCUGGGGGGGGGACCGGCCACAUUGGGACUGAGAUACGGCCCAGACUCCUACGGGAGGCAGCAGUGGGGAAUAUUGCACAAUGGGUGGAAGCCUGAUGCAGCAACGCCGUGUGCGGGAUGACGGCCUUCGGGUUGUAAACCGCUUUCGCUCAUGACGAAGCUUUGUGUGACGGUAGUGGGUAAAGAAGCACCGGCUAACUACGUG